UAAAGAACGAAUCCCAUCAUACCAAUUAUCAUCAUCGGAUCUGCGUAACGUGAUCAAAUGAUGCUACAGUGAAUCAAGUGCAAAUCAAAUGACGAUUUAAAUGGAACCAAGUCGUUAAGUAGAACGCGAGUCACAAAUUGCUAGGGUAACAAGCGUGGUCAUUCUAUUCCAGGAUAUAUCCUUGAACUCACUUUAUAUAUAUAAAAGGACUGCAGUGUCAGUGGUAACGUCAGAGGCUCAGGGUCGUGGCUGGAGGUGUGAAUUGCCGUCAUUGUCAGGGUCAUUCGUUGCAGCUGAUAAAUCGAGGUUUAUCAUGGGAUUCUCGUGGUCGAUGGUUAUCAGGGAAGUUAUUUUGCGGUUGCUGCAAGAUAAGACUUGAUUAUUUUCCUCGAUGCCGACGUCUUACGCAAGCUCGGGUUACAACUUUUCCGAUUCACGAUUGGCAAGCACUGAUGAAAUGAAGCAGCGACGCUGUUGCCGUCGGAUAUAUAGGCGCGAGACCGACGCUAUCACUAUUUCCAUAGUAGAGUUUAUGACCGAUGCCAAACGUAGCAUUUACUUGUGAAACAGUCGUCUUAACCAUAUGAAAAUACUACAGUCAGAUAUUCUAAACACAAGUUCGGUCACCGACCUCGUAUACAAUUUCUAAAUCUGUCACCGUAAACCAUUCACAGGUUUUAACUCAUACAGUUGAAUUAUCCACAGAUGAAAAACUAAUUAAAUAAUCUUAGUGAUAACAAGACAUAUAUCCAGUAAAAGCAUAAUAAAUAGUGGCUGAUUAUCAUUAUUUUCUCUAUGCGUAUUUUUUUCACUGAACUAAAAUUGAUGUAAUCAUUGAGGCAGAGAAAGUUUUUACAUUGAUGUUUUCAAGAGAAUUUUGGUGCUUCACAAAUUUCAGUUGAUUAUAUUCGUUGUUUGUUAUUACAAGACUUAAGUAAUCAUUAAAUGUUUUCAUCUCCUAUCGUGAAGUAAAGAAUUUUAUUAUUCGUUUUACAGCGAUAUUGACAGUUUCGUAAUUAUGUCAUAAUCCAAUUAUCUUAUCAAAUUCACUGUAGACCCUAGGCUUUUAGACAAAAAUACGUACAUGGCUAAUGUUAAUGUUAAUGUUAAGCAUUAAAGAAUUUUUACAGCGAAAAAUUAAUAAAGCAAAAAUUGGUUAAGGCAUCCUGUAUCAAUACAGAAGUAAAAAAGACAUAA
Long non-coding RNA from Cephus cinctus (wheat stem sawfly), 1197 nucleotides. RefSeq lists it as uncharacterized. The record is from RefSeq and is a predicted model, not a curated record. The transcript has 4 exons. Lineage: Eukaryota; Metazoa; Arthropoda; Insecta; Hymenoptera; Cephidae.